GGAAAAGGAAAACUCCCCUGCCCCACUGUCUUUCCCAGCUAAAUGCCCUACUGGAGUCUCAAAUGUGGACCGAAGGGGAUGAGGAGUGGGACCAGAGGGACAAGGACAGUGCUUUAACCAUGUGAAGUGUGAAUGGAAGGAGCAGAGAGUCCUGAGCGAGCUGUUGAUGAACGUGGAGCACGCCUUACGUUCCCUCUGAGACUGGGAAGGAAAUCACAACUCUUUAGCUACUCCGAGAAAAGAAUAGCAAUGUGGAGCAUAGGAAGCGUUUCGCUGGUAUGCCCUGUGUGUCACGGAGGUCUGAGGCACUGGGAGGAGAAGAUGUGAGCUGAGAGGUUCUGCC
Molecule: long non-coding RNA, 343 nt
Organism: Calidris pugnax (ruff)
Lineage: Eukaryota; Metazoa; Chordata; Aves; Charadriiformes; Scolopacidae
Exons: 3
Source: RefSeq, a predicted model, not a curated record